This 301-nucleotide ribosomal RNA is filed under the name uncultured bacterium. RNAcentral describes it as "partial 16S ribosomal RNA". It matches the Rfam family "Bacterial small subunit ribosomal RNA", at positions 509 to 807 of the family's 1533-position model. The record is from RNAcentral.
CAGUCGCCACGGGAAUACGUAGGUGGCAAGCGUUGUCCGGAAUUAUUGGGCGUAAAGGGCUCGCAGGCGGUUUCUUAAGUCUGAUGUGAAAGCCCCCGGCUCAACCGGGGAGGGUCAUUGGAAACUGGGAAACUUGAGUGCAGAAGAGGAGAGCGGAAUUCCACGUGUAGCGGUGAAAUGCGUAGAGAUGUGGAGGAACACCAGUGGCGAAGGCGACUCUCUGGUCUGUAACUGACGCUGAGGAGCGAAAGCGUGGGGAGCGAACAGGAUUAGAUACCCGCGUAGUCCCUGUCUCUUAUAC